Helianthus annuus (common sunflower) is the source of this 1034-nucleotide long non-coding RNA. RefSeq lists it as uncharacterized. The transcript has 5 exons. The record is from RefSeq and is a predicted model, not a curated record. NCBI's taxonomy places the organism in Eukaryota, Viridiplantae, Streptophyta, Magnoliopsida, Asterales, Asteraceae.
GCUUAACAUUUUCAUAUUUCACCCAAUUACUCUUCCCCCCAAAACUAGGGCUAUUCCAGUGCCUCCCAUCUCAGACUACACUUCACAUUUUGCAAAGCUAGGAUUACUCCUGUCUCAGACCACCGUCCACCGUCGACCAUCUAUUGUCGUUUAUUUCUCUCCACCACCGUUUGUUUGUUGGCUUCCUUGCUGUGACGCUUGCCCCUCGACACACUCGACCCUCACUUGUUUGUUGUUGUCCAAAAUAUCAGUAUCAAUUUCACGAUUUGGAACCCUAGCACUUGUACCAGCGGCUCGCAUCUCGACAUGUACCAGUGCCUCCUACUCAGAGCACAUACCUUGGUCUAUCGUUUGUCUUCUGGCCAAAACAUCAGUUAUUGAGUUUAUAAUACUUUUGUAUGGUUACCAUUCUUUACAAACACAUCGAGUAGCGCAUGCAUUGUGGAACCAAGGACGCAAUGUGUUGGCUCUUGCACUACAAAGUCGAGUUAGCGAGGUAUUUGGAGUCGAUAUACAUCCAGGUAUUGUUUCAAAAAUGAUUUCCUAACAUAAAUACUAUAUUUUUAUUGGAUUUUACCAAUAACUGUUUCUCUUUUGUGUUCACAACUGCCAAAAUCGGGGAGGGGAUAUUAUUGGAUCAUGGAACGGGCUUGGUUAUUGGAAAAACUGCCGUUAAUUGGGGAUAGAGUUUCACUAAUGCAGGCUCAAGUUAUGCGAACCCGAAUGGUUGAUUUUGAAGCUCGGGUUGAAGAAGAAAGGAAUCUACUUGCAUCUCGUCUUGAAGAAGAAAAGAAUCUACUUGCAACUCGUCUUGACGAAGAAAGGAAGCAAGGGAAGAACUUCAAAAACAACUUCAAGAAUUUACGAUAAAUUGGCUUGCUCCCUCUAGUUAGUUGUAGUUUUUUUAUAUCUUUUUUGAAUUACGUUGAAUUGUAUUAGCUUACGGUUUAAACAUAUUGGAUCUUGCGUUGUGACGCAUGAUUUUUGAAUUUAUGUCAUAACUUUGGUGAAUUUUGUAAAACAGGUUUUUGGUA